Molecule: ribosomal RNA, 516 nt
Filed under: bacterium symbiont of Megymenum gracilicorne
Lineage: Bacteria
Description: bacterial SSU rRNA
Rfam family: Bacterial small subunit ribosomal RNA
Source: RNAcentral
GAAGGGUGCAAGCGUUACUCGGAAUUACUGGGCGUAAAGCGUGCGUAGGUGGUUGUUUAAGUCUGUUGUGAAAGCCCUGGGCUCAACCUGGGAACUGCAGUGGAAACUGGACGACUAGAGUGUGGUAGAGGGUAGCGGAAUUCCUGGUGUAGCAGUGAAAUGCGUAGAGAUCAGGAGGAACAUCCAUGGCGAAGGCAGCUACCUGGACCAACACUGACACUGAGGCACGAAAGCGUGGGGAGCAAACAGGAUUAGAUACCCUGGUAGUCCACGCCCUAAACGAUGCGAACUGGAUGUUGGGUGCAAUUUGGCACGCAGUAUCGAAGCUAACGCGUUAAGUUCGCCGCCUGGGGAGUACGGUCGCAAGACUGAAACUCAAAGGAAUUGACGGGGGCCCGCACAAGCGGUGGAGUAUGUGGUUUAAUUCGAUGCAACGCGAAGAACCUUACCUGGCCUUGACAUGUCGAGAACUUUCCAGAGAUGGAUUGGUGCCUUCGAGAACUCGAACACAGGUGC